Daucus carota subsp. sativus is the source of this 1049-nucleotide long non-coding RNA. RefSeq lists it as uncharacterized. The record is from RefSeq and is a predicted model, not a curated record. The transcript is spliced from 2 exons. Lineage: Eukaryota; Viridiplantae; Streptophyta; Magnoliopsida; Apiales; Apiaceae.
UUUAAUAAUUAUAAAUUAAGCCUAGCAGCUGCGUAUGCAGUAUGUGUACAGCCAGAUCGAUGAGAAACAGAUAGAUAGAUAUAAAACAGACGCGGGCUUGUUCAAGCGAAAGAAAGACAGAGCAAAUUAGGGUUUCGGGGAGUCUAUUCAAUCAGAUCAAUUCAUUGGCAGGUGAGGCUUAUUAGCUUUGUGUGACUACAUACUUAUCUGUAUAUCGUUGUUUGUUGGCGGAUUGGGUUUUUGUUGGGGCGUUUGAUUGAUAGUUAGAGGAAUAAGGGAGGGGAUCUGGGGGUGUGUUUGAUCAGAGAUGGGGAGUUUGGCGGUGUAAAUCGGAGAUGGGGCUGUGACGUGGGUGUUGAUCGGAGGUGGCUACAGUUGGUCGGAGGAACGGAGGCGACGUCUGUCGCCGGGUAUGGUUACAGAGGCGCUGCGAGGAAGGUUGCGGCGGUCUGAAAUCCGGCUGACUUGGGUGGAGGUCUGGUGGCUUGAUAAAAAGUGGCAGAGUUAUGUUGUUGAUCGGAGGUGGCUACAGUUGAUCGUUGAUUGAAGGCUGGCUGGUUGCUUGAUGAUUGUAGUGAUACAGUGGCUGGUGGGUUUGACGGAAAACAGCAGGGGAGGUGCUGUGCAGGUCAGUGGCGAUGAAUUAUCGUCGGGCCGUAUUAAAUCGAGGGAGGUAGGCUGAGGAGACAAAGGUGUAGAUGGUUGUGUGUGCCAUCACCGAUUAUUGCAGGAGAGGUGAACGAUGGUGUGAGCGCUUGUUUGUAUGUGUUGGAGUACUGAUUUGGGUGUGGCCUUGAGGUUAAAAUUGAUGUUGAAAUAAGAUUACAGAGGAUUGGUUGUGUGUGUAGUUAGAGUCCAGGUAGGUGUGUGUUAAAGUAUUGUAGUGUUAUUUAUAGCUCAUGGUUAUAGAUGUAAAUAUGCUUUUGUAAUUAAGGGUAGAUUAGUACACAAUAUAGCUAGUUAGUUACUGCUUUUGUGUAUAUAUAGACAGCUAGUACAGAUUGUAAUUCAGUUUAGUUAAUACAAUUUUAGUCUUUUCUCUUUCUAAA